This 497-nucleotide ribosomal RNA is filed under the name uncultured bacterium. RNAcentral's name for it is "partial 16S ribosomal RNA". It matches the Rfam family "Bacterial small subunit ribosomal RNA", at positions 28 to 507 of the family's 1533-position model. The record is from RNAcentral.
GAUGAACGCUGGCGGCGUGCCUAAUACAUGCAAGUCGAGCGAACAGACGAGGAGCUUGCUCCUCUGACGUUAGCGGCGGACGGGUGAGUAACACGUGGAUAACCUACCUAUAAGACUGGGAUAACUUCGGGAAACCGGAGCUAAUACCGGAUAAUAUAUUGAACCGCAUGGUUCAAUAGUGAAAGACGGUUUUGCUGUCACUUAUAGAUGGAUCCGCGCCGCAUUAGCUAGUUGGUAGGGUAACGGCUUACCAAGGCAACGAUGCGUAGCCGACCUGAGAGGGUGAUCGGCCACACUGGAACUGAGACACGGUCCAGACUCCUACGGGAGGCAGCAGUAGGGAAUCUUACGCAAUGGGCGAAAGCCUGACGGAGCAACGCCGCGUGAGUGAUGAAGGUCUUCGGAUCGUAAAACUCUGUUAUUAGGGAAGAACAAAUGUGUAAGUAACUAUGCACGUCUUGACGGUACCUAAUCAGAAAGCCACGGCUAACUACGUG